Non-coding RNA from Chrysochromulina sp., 45 nucleotides. NCBI's taxonomy places the organism in Eukaryota, Haptophyta, Prymnesiales, Chrysochromulinaceae. The record is from Rfam.
ACCCCGGUGUUUUUUAACACCACCCAUAUUCACAGGAAAAGCCCC